UAUUGGACAAUGGGCGAAAGCCUGAUCCAGCAAUGCCGCGUGAGUGAUGAAGGCCUUAGGGUUGUAAAGCUCUUUUACCAGGGAUGAUAAUGACAGUACCUGGAGAAUAAGCUCCGGCUAACUCCGUGCCAGCAGCCGCGGUAAUGCGGAGGGAGCUAGCGUUGUUCGGAAUUACUGGGCGUAAAGAGUACGUAGGCGGUGAUUCAAGUCAGAGGUGAAAGCCUGGAGCUCAACUCCAGAACUGCCUUUGAAACUAGAUCGCUAGAAUCAUGGAGAGGUUAGUGGAAUUCCGAGUGUAGAGGUGAAAUUCGUAGAUAUUCGGAAGAACACCAGUGGCGAAGGCGACUAACUGGACAUGUAUGACGCUGAGUACGAA
RNAcentral lists this ribosomal RNA (376 nucleotides) under uncultured bacterium. RNAcentral's name for it is "bacterial SSU rRNA". It matches the Rfam family "Bacterial small subunit ribosomal RNA", at positions 362 to 757 of the family's 1533-position model. The record is from RNAcentral.